UGGGGAAUAUUGCACAAUGGGCGCAAGCCUGAUGCAGCCAUGCCGCGUGUAUGAAGAAGGCCUUCGGGUUGUAAAGUACUUUCAGCGAGGAGGAAGGCAUUGUGGUUAAUAACCACAGUGAUUGACGUUACUCGCAGAAGAAGCACCGGCUAACUCCGUG
RNAcentral lists this ribosomal RNA (160 nucleotides) under uncultured bacterium. Its description in RNAcentral is "partial 16S ribosomal RNA". It matches the Rfam family "Bacterial small subunit ribosomal RNA", at positions 355 to 507 of the family's 1533-position model. The record is from RNAcentral.